This 355-nucleotide ribosomal RNA is filed under the name uncultured bacterium. Its description in RNAcentral is "bacterial SSU rRNA". It matches the Rfam family "Bacterial small subunit ribosomal RNA", at positions 29 to 412 of the family's 1533-position model. The record is from RNAcentral.
AACGAACGCUGGCGGCAGGCCUAACACAUGCAAGUCGAGCGCCCAGCAAUGGGAGCGGCGGACGGGUGAGUAACGCGUGGGAAUUUUUCCUGGAGUACGGAACAACCGAGGGAAACUUCGGCUAAUACCGUAUGAUGCCGAGAGGCCAAAGAUUUAUCGCUCUGGGGUGAGCCCGCGUCAGAUUAGGUAGUUGGUGGGGUAAAGGCCUACCAAGCCUGCGAUCUGUAGCUGGUCUGAGAGGACGAUCAGCCACACUGGGACUGAGACACGGCCCAGACUCCUACGGGAGGCAGCAGUGGGGAAUCUUGCGCAAGUGGGCGAAAGCCUGACGCAGCCAUGCCGCGUGAGUGAAGAA